GCUGCGUUAGCUCAGUUGGUAGAGCAGCUGUCUUGUAAACAGCAGGUCGCCGGUUCGAGCCCGGCACGCAGCUCCA
This 76-nucleotide transfer RNA is filed under the name Actinomyces sp. Its description in RNAcentral is "tRNA-Thr". It matches the Rfam family "tRNA". Rfam says of the family: Transfer RNA (tRNA) molecules are approximately 80 nucleotides in length. Their secondary structure includes four short double-helical elements and three loops (D, anti-codon, and T loops). Further hydrogen bonds mediate the characteristic L-shaped molecular structure. tRNAs have two regions of fundamental functional importance: the anti-codon, which is responsible for specific mRNA codon recognition, and the 3' end, to which the tRNAs corresponding amino acid is attached (by aminoacyl-tRNA synthetases). tRNAs cope with the degeneracy of the genetic code in two manners: having more than one tRNA (with a specific anti-codon) for a particular amino acid; and 'wobble' base-pairing, i.e. permitting non-standard base-pairing at the 3rd anti-codon position. Lineage: Bacteria; Bacillati; Actinomycetota; Actinomycetes; Actinomycetales; Actinomycetaceae. The record is from RNAcentral. RNAcentral also lists the same sequence under 1 other name.